GUUGCUGUGGUCUAGUGGUUAGGAUACUGUUUUGUGUCCUCACUAACCCAGGUUCGAGUCCUGGCAGCGACA
Molecule: non-coding RNA, 72 nt
Organism: Trichobilharzia regenti
Lineage: Eukaryota; Metazoa; Platyhelminthes; Trematoda; Strigeidida; Schistosomatidae
Source: Rfam